This 204-nucleotide ribosomal RNA is filed under the name uncultured bacterium. Its description in RNAcentral is "partial 16S ribosomal RNA". It matches the Rfam family "Bacterial small subunit ribosomal RNA", at positions 524 to 726 of the family's 1533-position model. The record is from RNAcentral.
UACGUAGGGGGCUAGCGUUGUCCGGAUUUAUUGGGCGUAAAGAGCGUGUAGGCGGCCAUGUAGGUCCGGUGUGAAAACUCGAGGCUUAACCUCGAGAUGUCAUCGGAAACCAUCUGGCUAGAGUCCGGAAGAGGAGAGUGGAAUUCCUGGUGUAGCGGUGAAAUGCGCAGAUAUCAGGAGAACACCAGUGGCGAAAGGCAGACU